Molecule: small RNA, 69 nt
Filed under: Arabidopsis thaliana (thale cress)
Lineage: Eukaryota; Viridiplantae; Streptophyta; Magnoliopsida; Brassicales; Brassicaceae
Description: ATSL154110
Source: RNAcentral
AGUUUUUAAGUGUCAUUUGUGUCAAUCUCCCAAAUAAAAAUGAGAGCAAACACUAAUAUUAAAUUGAAU